Long non-coding RNA from Calidris pugnax (ruff), 334 nucleotides. RefSeq lists it as uncharacterized. The transcript is spliced from 2 exons. NCBI's taxonomy places the organism in Eukaryota, Metazoa, Chordata, Aves, Charadriiformes, Scolopacidae. The record is from RefSeq and is a predicted model, not a curated record.
UUAAAAAAAUAUAAGGAAAAAGAGAAACAUUAAAAACAUCCACCAUCUGAAUAAUUGAAAAAAUGUGAAAAGGUUAAGAUAAUUUACUAUGAUGUCAAAUUCACAAAAUAUUUUUAGGAGGAAUGGCGAAAACAGAACUCAUCCAUAUACAUUUUGGCACACUUCAAAUACUGCAGGUAAAAAGAAUGAUAACUGAGUGAGAUUUAUAACGACAUACAAAAACAGCCCUCAGGAAGGGCUUUGUUUCAUAACCUUUAUACUAUUGUUUUAAUUUGCAGCAUUAUUUUCUCCUUGUAACAUACAUGAAAACAAAUAAAGAAAUAUCAUGACAACA